GGUGCCCUGGCUUAGCUGGUUAAAGUGCCUGCUUUGCAAGCAGGGGGUCCUAGGUUCAAAUCCCAGUGGUACCU
This is a transfer RNA of Alligator mississippiensis (American alligator), 74 nucleotides long. It matches the Rfam family "tRNA". From Rfam's summary of the family: Transfer RNA (tRNA) molecules are approximately 80 nucleotides in length. The record is from Rfam. Lineage: Eukaryota; Metazoa; Chordata; Crocodylia; Alligatoridae.